RNAcentral lists this transfer RNA (65 nucleotides) under Scapholeberis mucronata. RNAcentral describes it as "tRNA-Pro". Lineage: Eukaryota; Metazoa; Arthropoda; Branchiopoda; Diplostraca; Daphniidae. The record is from RNAcentral.
CAGAAGGUAGUUUAAAAAAAAUCUAAACUUUGGGAGUUUAAUAUGUGGGCUUUCCACUCUUCUGA